AUCCAUCUUUCCUGCCUCAGGUCAUUAACGCCUUGGUGUCAGGGUGAUGGUCCCAGUGGGCUCACGUGUGUGAGGGGCACCAGCCAGGAGCGCGAAUCCUAAUUUAUGCUGUUAUAAAGGUUAAGAACAGAGCAUUUCAGCAUGGUUCACAUUCUGCCUGCACGCUGCAGUGGGUCUCAGCUAAUUCAGCAGCAGUGGUUUGUUCUGCUUGAAAUCCUGGAGAAUGGCUCCUCUCCUGAGCUUCAAGGCUUGGUGUGCUGAGCCUCGCUGUCAGCUCAUUCCAGUGACUCAGGAAUGCUGGUCUGGAAGCUGCUCAGAGGUGCCAGGCAAGGCAGAAUAAUGCCAGGAGAAAACCCAAGGCAGUUCUACGUUUAUAUGGGUCUCCAAGUACUGCUCUGUACUGUCUGUAAUAGGGGCCAGCCACUCAACCUGUGUUGAAAUAAAACUCAGUAUUUCCCAUAGAAUGGUACUGGAGUUAUGGGCAGAUCUACCUUGCUGCUGACGAGGCUUCUAUAGACUUGCACCAGCAGAAACACCAAAAUUCAUCCAGAGCAUUUGAACCUCUGGUUUGUCAGCAGUUUGUCAUGCUCAAGGAGCAUCUGUAGAAGAAAUAUGGCCUCAAGCAGCUGGAAACUGGUGACAUCAUGUUUGGGGGCAAGACUGGUUCCUGAGGCUGGCUGAGAAAAGAUUCCUCAUGCCACUGCCUCCUGUCAUCUCCUGAGGGCAAGAAACAGUCCUACUCACCUUCUGUGGGACAUUUCCACAACAAGUAUUGGUUCUAGGCCUUCUAUUUCCUUCUGAACAGUGUACCAGCAGCCCAAGACCACAGGAGAACAAGAAAGAGUGACAGAGCUUUGGUGUACAAGGAUCAUUGUUUUGAGAGGCCUGACAUCUGCACUGUGACCACUGGUCUCAGCCUCCUCUCUGGAGCAUGCUUCCCCCAGCACAGAGCGUGCUUCCCCCCUUGGUUUUCCAUCCAUUUCUCAGUUUGUGAACUGAGGACGGCUGGUGAAGGCUGGGACUGUCCAGAACUGGGGCUGAAGGGGAGUCAAGAGAAGAGGAACCUUUUCUGUCAAGCCUCCUGCAGACCAUCUGACCCAUCAGCUUUGUUUGCUAUUGCUGAAAAACUGGGAUUGCACUUCAAGAACGAACUUUGAGUGAGCUGAGGGAAGAUACCCAAGUGGAAGACAUCACCCCAGAGAUUCAUAUGCUGUCUUGUUCCCUUUUAAAAACAGUAUAAUUUUCUUAAAUAAUAGUGGGCUGAUAUUUGCUCUUAUUUCCUUUCCCUGUGGGGAGACAUUUUGGACUCCUACAAUAUUUUGUCUUGGGGGGGGCAAGUCAUGCACAUGUGGACAUUUGUGCCUACAUAUCUGCCUUUCUCUCACAGUUUGCUAUGGUUGCUACAUACUGCUGAUGGACAAAACAGGGCUAAAAUGCAGCUUGAAGAGAUACAGGAGCUGGAGAACCUGGUAGUAAUAAUUAGCAUCUCUUGACGAGUGACUCCAUGUUCCUGAGCUGACCCCCAAGGGUGAGACUGACAAAGCCUGGGUUGGAAAGAAUUUCUUCAAUUUGUAACAUUUACUGACUUUUCACAGGUGCUUGGCACCCAGGGGAAGGUAUCUCAAUCUGCUGGCCACUGUGAGAAGAAAUUCGAGGAGGAGAGGAAAGAAUAGGCACUGACUGAGCAUUUCCCACCUCUGGCACUGGACCAGGAGUCACAGCCAGCACAGCUCCUCAAGUGCCAAACCCAGGUGUCAGAAACAGCCCAAGAGCCACCUGGGCAGUACCAUGGGGAAGGUUGUCUUUGCACAGAUUAUUUGUUCCCCAGUCCUCCCAUCCCACCCUCCCUGUGAAAAUAAUCACAGUGUACCCAUCCAGCACAAUAUCAGAGGAGAUGUUCUCUAGAAUGUGUCUUUUUUUCAGCAUAAAGCAAAAUGACAUUUAGGUCCAUUUCUGCUAAAACCCUGGCUUUGGGAGGAGAGCCUCUGUAGGAAAAACAAUUGCCACUGGGUAUAAAAAAAAUCCAGCUGGUUUGAUAGUAAUUAUCUGUUGUUGGAUUUGUAAAGUAUUUGCUGUAUAAAUUAUCCAAACAUUCUUUUCCUUUCCCCAAUAUUUUGGGUUUAUAUUUGUCUUUCCUUCAAAUUUAAACAUUUUUAAGCUUCAGUACUUUCAAAUCCCUAUUACCAGUUUUUAAAGGGAUUAGGGUAAAUGGCUUUUAUUGUGCAGUCACAAUACUAUUGCUUUCAAAUACAUCUUCUUGGAUUUCCUGUUCAGAAGAAAAAAAAA
Long non-coding RNA from Passer domesticus (house sparrow), 2286 nucleotides. RefSeq lists it as uncharacterized. The transcript is spliced from 8 exons. Lineage: Eukaryota; Metazoa; Chordata; Aves; Passeriformes; Passeridae. The record is from RefSeq and is a predicted model, not a curated record.